GAUGAAGAACGCAGCGAAAUGCGAUAAGUAAUGUGAAUUGCAGAAUUCAGUGAAUCAUCGAAUCUUUGAACGCACAUUGCGCCCGCCAGUAUUCUGGCGGGCAUGCCUGUUCGAGCGUCAUUACAACCCUCAGGCCCCCGGGCCUGGCGUUGGGGAUCGGCGGAGCCCCCCGUGGGCACACGCCGUCCCCCAAAUGCAGUGGCGGUCCCGCCGCAGCUUCCAUCGCGUAGUAGCUAACACCUCGCGACUGGAGAGCGGCGCGGCCACGCCGUAAAACACCCAACUCUUCUGAAGUUAACCUCGAAUCAGGUAGGAAUACCCGCUGAACUUAAGCAUAUCAAUAAGCGGAGGA
Molecule: unclassified non-coding RNA, 352 nt
Filed under: soil metagenome
Description: partial contains 5.8S ribosomal RNA, internal transcribed spacer 2, and large subunit ribosomal RNA
Rfam family: 5.8S ribosomal RNA (bases 1-120)
Source: RNAcentral